This 252-nucleotide ribosomal RNA is filed under the name uncultured bacterium. Its description in RNAcentral is "partial 16S ribosomal RNA". It matches the Rfam family "Bacterial small subunit ribosomal RNA", at positions 525 to 776 of the family's 1533-position model. The record is from RNAcentral.
ACGUAGGGUGCGAGCGUUAAUCGGAAUUACUGGGCGUAAAGCGUGCGCAGGUGGUUUUGUAAGUCAGAUGUGAAAGCCCCGGGCUCAACCUGGGAACUGCGUUUGAAACUACAAGACUAGAGUGUGGCAGAGGGGGGUGGAAUUCCGCGUGUAGCAGUGAAAUGCGUAGAGAUGUGGAGGAACACCGAUGGCGAAGGCAGCCCCCUGGGUCAACACUGACGCUCAGGCACGAAAGCAUGGGGAGCAAACAGG